RNAcentral lists this ribosomal RNA (1336 nucleotides) under Dimorphostylis asiatica. Its description in RNAcentral is "16S ribosomal RNA". Lineage: Eukaryota; Metazoa; Arthropoda; Malacostraca; Cumacea; Diastylidae. The record is from RNAcentral.
GGGUUGAUUUAAGUUCACCAGGUUAUAAUUUUCAUUAUUAAUUUAUACGUGAUAUAUAAAAAAAUUAUAAAAAUUUUUUUAAGUUUAAAAUAGUUUUGUUUUAGUUAGAAUAUUAAUAUAUUGUCAGUACUGAAAAGGAAGGAAGUAGAUUUAAAGAUAGGAUUAUUUUUACCUUUAGUAUCAGGGACUUAUUAAAUUAUUAUUAUAUAAAUAUAUCUCGAACAGUAAAUAUUUAUUAAAAUUUGUUUAAAUAGUGUAGCAACAUUAUUAUUAAAAUUUUUAUGGAAAUUAUAUGUUUAUCGUUUUGCUUAUAUCUAGUUAUCUUGGAAUAAAAUUUAAUUUAUAAUUUAUUAACCUGUUUAAUAAGUUUAAAGUGAGUAAAGGAUAAGCUUUAUUUUUGUCAAUUUUAAGUUUAUACAGAUGAUAAAUAAGAAUAAAAGUAUCUUUUUUAAAAUAGUUUUAAAACAUUUAAUUUUAAAUUAGUAUUUAUAAAUUUAAUUUGUAUUUUAUAGGAUUUAAAAUUGAAUUGUUAUUUUAAAUAAUAAUAUAAGUAUUAUUAAAAGUUAUGGUUCAGUUAAAUAUUUACAAGAUUAUAUUAACUUAAAAUUUGCAUUAAUUUUCAAGGGAAUUUUAAUAAACUCGGCAAACAUUUUAAGUGCCUGUUUAUCAAAAACAUGUCUUAAGGAUAUUUAAUCUUGAGUCAGGCCUGCACCCUGAAAUUUAAAGAGCUGCAGUAUAUUGACUGUGCUAAGGUAGCAUAAUAAGUUGUUAAAUAAUUAUUAACUUGAAUGAAAGGUUUGACUCUUAGAGGCUGUCUCUGAUUUUUUUAUAAAUUUAAUUCCUGGUUAAAAUUCCAGGCUGAACUUAAAAGACGAUAAGACCCUAUAAAAUUUCAUUAAUUUUAUUUGAUUAUUUUUAGUUUAAGAUUAAUUUGGUUGGGGCGACUGGUAUAUAAAUUUUAACUGUUCUAAUUUAAACAUAUUAAUUGAUUUAUAAGACCCUUUAUAGAUUUUUAAAAAAAGUUACUUUAGGGAUAACAGCGUAAUUCUUUUUAGAGUUCUUAUCGAGUAAAGAGUUUGCGACCUCGAUGUUGAAUUAAGAAGUCCUCACGGAGCAGAAUCUGUAGGGGGUAAUCUGUUCGAUUAGUAAUUUCUUACAUGAUUUGAGUUCAAACCGGUGCAAGCCAGGUUGGUUUCUAUCUUUAAUUUUUAUUUUUAUUUUUUUAGUACGAAAGGAUUUAAAAAUUAAAAUAAUUUUAUUUAGAAGAAUAAUUUUAAAUGUUUUUCUAUAAUUUUAAGUUUACAAGUUUGACUUAUCUUAUGUUUUCAAAACAUAU